UACGUAGGGUGCAAGCGUUGUCCGGAAUUAUUGGGCGUAAAGAGCUCGUAGGCGGUCUGUCACGUCGGCUAUGAAAUCCCGAGGCUCAACCUCGGGUCUGCAGUCGAUACGGGCAAACUAGAGUAUUGCAGGGGAGACUGGAAUUCCUGGUGUAGCGGUGAAAUGCGCAGAUAUCAGGAGGAACACCGGUGGCGAAGGCAGGUCUCUGGGCCACUACUGACGCUGAGACGCGAAAGCGUGGGGAGCGAACAGG
This 253-nucleotide ribosomal RNA is filed under the name uncultured bacterium. RNAcentral describes it as "partial 16S ribosomal RNA". It matches the Rfam family "Bacterial small subunit ribosomal RNA", at positions 524 to 776 of the family's 1533-position model. The record is from RNAcentral.